UCUCCAAGUAACGGCGAGUGAAAGGAGAUGAGCUCAGCGCUGAACCGCUUGGUGACUCACUACUGCGGACUGUAGCGUAUAGGUGUGGCUAUUCAACAUUGCUGUACAUCCAAAGUACUCUUGACCGAGGCUACCAUAGAUGAUGCAAGUUCAGUACGGAUGACAGUGGUGUUGAUCGGCUAUUCCUUAGAGUCGGGUUGUUUGAGAUUGCAGCCCAAAGUUGGUGGUAAACCCCAUCUAAAGCUAAAUAUGGCCACGAGACCGAUAGCAAACAAGUACCGUGAGGGAAAGUUGCAAAGUACUUUGAAGAGAGAGUUCAAGAGGGCGUGAAACCGCUAAGAUGGAAACAAAUGGAGUUGACGUAGUCUUUUGACAAUCAGUUUGACUGAUGUGAUGACCCGGGUGAUUUGUUACUGUCAAAGGGACGGUUGUCUGGGAUGUCAUGUUAGUUGGAUGCACUUGUUGGAAGUAAGCGCUGAGAUGCUUGCAAGGAUUGACAGAAGGAAAGCAAUGAUGGACCUCUUCGGAGAAAACCUGUGCCUCUGGAUGUCAAGUCUCUGUAAGUAUUCGUAGACGUGUAUAGCCUUGUGCUUGGCAGUUUAAUGCUCAUAGUCUGUGCGUAAGGAGGCGUGCCUCUUUGCGUAUAGGUUGCGUUCACUAGGCUGUCUUGCUAUGUAUGCGUUUCUCGGUGUAAAAGUCAACUACCUAUUUGACCCGUCUUGAAACACGGACCAAGGAGUUUAGCAUAUGUGCGAGUAGUUGGAUGAUAAAUCUGAAUGCGUAAUGAAAGUGAAGGUUUCUUUAUGAAGCUGAUAUCAGAUCUGCGGUAAAACGUAGAGCAUGAUAGCCCCAUCUGAAUGGCUUGCCAUUAGGUGGAGGAAGAGCAUAUACGCUAAGACCCGAAAGAUGGUGAACUAUGCUUGAGCAGGACGAAGCCAGAGGAAACUCUGGUGGAGGUCCGAAACGGUUCUGACGUGCAAAUCGAUCGUCUGACUUGGGUAUAGGGGCGAAAGACUAAUCGAACCAUCUAGUAGCUGGUUCCCUCUGAAGUUUCCCCCAGGAUAGCUGGAGUUUAUAAUCAGUUUUACUCGGUAAAGCCAAUGAUUAGAGGCAUUGGGAUCUCAAUGAUCUUAACCUAUUCUCAAACUUUCAAUGUGUAUGAAGUCUUGGUUUCUUAAUUGAACCUGGACAUGGAAUGUGAGCUCCAAGUGGGCCAUUUUUGGUAAGCAGAACUGGCGAUGUGGGAUGAACCAAACGUUGGGUUAAAGUGCCUAACUGUCCGAUCAUGAGACCCCAUGAAAUGCGUUAGUUCAUAUAGACAGCAGGACGGUGGCCAUGGAAGUCGGUACCCGCUAAGGAGUGUGUAACAACUCACCUGCCGAAUGAACUAGCCAUGAAAAUGGAUGGCGCUAGAUCGGACGACUUAUACCCAACCGUUACAUAGACUUGAGCGUAAGCUGCGCCUGGUCGUAACGAGUAAGAGGGUCGUAGUGAUGAGCGUUGAAGGCUUUGGGCGUAGGCCCAGCUGGAGCCGUCACUAGUGCAGAUCUUGGUGGUAGUAGCAAAUAUUCAAGUGAGAUCCUUGAAGACUGAAGUGGAGAAGGGUUCCACGUGAACAGCAGUUGAAUGUGGGUCAGUCGAUCCUAAGAUACUGGCUAAUGCCUUGUAUCAAUGAGAGUAGUGAAGUUAAAUUCGCUCUCGAUUGUCGAAAGGGAAUGAGGUUAACAUUCCUUAACCUAGACGUGAAGAUAGAUAGUCAAUUGACUAUCUUGCGCGGUAACGCAAACGAACUUGGUGACACUGCACAUAGCCCGAGCUAGAGUUUUCUUUUCUAGUUAAGAGGCGGACUCCAUGGAAACGGUUUAGCCGGAGAUAUGGACGUUGUCCUCGUAUAGCAUCACGGUUCCUGUGGUGUCUCGAGCGUUGUGUGCGGUCCUUGAAAAACCAAGGGAGGCAACUUGAAUUUCACGCUAGAUCGUACCGAUAUCCGCAGCAGGUCUCCAAGGUGAACAGCCUCUAGUCGAUAGAAUAAUGUAGGUAAGGGAAGUCGGCAAAUUAGAUCCGUAACUUCGGGAAAAGGAUUGGCUCUAAGGACUGGGUCGGUCGGGCUGUAACACGAAACAGUGAUGGUCCCGUCGAUGUCUGUUUUGGCUUUCGGGCUAGAACGGGCUAGUGGCGGGAACGUUCUGUGGACUGGUGCAGCUAAUGUGCCCACUCUCGGGUGGAACACUUCGGCCGACACUAAACAGUUAACUUAGAACUGGCACGGACUCGGGGAAUCUGACUGUCUAAUUAAAACAAAGGAGAUAGAUGGCCCUUGCGGGCGUUGACUAUCUCUGAUUUCUGCCCAGUGCUCUGAAUGUUAACUCGAUGAAAUUCGAGUAAGCGCGGGUAAACGGCGGGAGUAACUAUGACUCUCUUAAGGUAGCCAAAUGCCUCGUCAUCUAAUUAGUGACGCGCAUGAAUGGAUUAACGAGAUUCCCACUGUCCCUAUCUACUAUCUAGCGAAACCACAGCCAAGGGAACGGGCUUGGCAAAAACAGCGGGGAAAGAAGACCCUGUUGAGCUUGACUCUAGUCUGACUCUGUGAAGAGUCAUGGAAGGUGUAGCAUAAGUGGGAGCAGCAAUGCGUCCGUGAAAUACCACUACUUUUAUCGAUUCUUUACUUAUUUGGUAAGGCGAGGAUUAAGCCUAACGGCUUCUGAUUCUUGAGUUAAGUCUGGUUACUUGGUGACCGGGCGACUCGCGCCAAAGACAGUGUCAGGCGGGGAGUUUGACUGGGGCGGUACAUCUGUCAAACAGUAACGCAGGUGUCCUAAGGCAAGCUCAGAGAGGACAGAAACCUCUCGUAGAGCAAAAGGGCAAAAGCUCGCUUGAUCUUGAUUUUCAGCACGAAUACAGACCGCGAAAGCGUGGCCUAUCGAUCCUUUUAAAUUAGAGGGUUUCUAAUAAGAGGUGUCGGAAAAGUUACCACAGGGAUAACUGGCUUGUGGCAGCCAAGCGUCCAUAGCGACGUUGCUUUUUGAUCCUUCGAUGUC
Molecule: ribosomal RNA, 3038 nt
Filed under: Myolaimus byersi
Lineage: Eukaryota; Metazoa; Nematoda; Chromadorea; Rhabditida; Myolaimidae
Description: eukaryotic LSU rRNA
Rfam family: Eukaryotic large subunit ribosomal RNA
Source: RNAcentral